RNAcentral lists this ribosomal RNA (236 nucleotides) under uncultured bacterium. Its description in RNAcentral is "partial 16S ribosomal RNA". It matches the Rfam family "Bacterial small subunit ribosomal RNA", at positions 118 to 351 of the family's 1533-position model. The record is from RNAcentral.
UGAGGAACAUGACCUUCGGCGGGGGAUAGCCGGCCCAACGGCCGGGUAAUACCGCGUACGACCACUUUGGGACAUCCCUCGGUGGUGAAAGCAGCAAUGCGCCGAUGGAGUGCCCCGCGGCCUAUCAGCUAGUUGGUGAGGUAACGGCUCACCAAGGCGACGACGGGUAGCCGGCCUGAGAGGGCGAUCGGCCACACUGGGACUGAGACACGGCCCAGACUCCGUACGGGAGGCAG